CAGAAGGAUGGGGAUUGGGGACACUGGGCUGAACCUGAGAGACUGAACUAAGAGAAAGCACAAGGCUGAGUUUGCAGGAUUCUCAACUCUUCCUGCUGGUUUUGAGAAGCAGAUGAAUUUAAUGGCAGGCAGCUGCUCUCCAACCACUUACCCUCCUUCACUGCAUCAAGUGAUUCUGGACCACGCCGGGCACAGAUAUAUGUUCUCCUUGGACCUGUUCCUGAGAGCUGGAGGUUAGCCAAGGUUAGAAUGAAGAUAUGCUGAUGGUGAGCCAGCUUUGUUUCUGUGAAGGCAUGAGGGCAAUGGAGGGGGUGCGUGUGGAGCCACAAGACAGAGGAAGAUUAGCCCUGAGCUAACAUCUGCUGCCAAUCCUCCUCUUUUUGCUGAGGAAGACUGGCCCUGAACUAAUAUCUGUGCCCAUCUUCCUCUACUUUAUAUGUGGGAUGCCUGCCACAGCAUGGCUUGACAAGUGGUGUAUAGGUCCACACCCAGGAUCUGAACUGGUGAAACUCGGGCCGCCGAAGCAGAAUGUGUGAAUUUAACCGCUGCACCACCAAGCUGGACCCCUUGACAAAGCUUUUUAUAUUCCUUUUUUCCCCCUU
This 602-nucleotide long non-coding RNA is filed under the name Equus asinus (donkey). RNAcentral's name for it is "lncRNA (ENSEASG00005029592.1)". The record is from RNAcentral. Lineage: Eukaryota; Metazoa; Chordata; Mammalia; Perissodactyla; Equidae.